This 104-nucleotide ribosomal RNA is filed under the name Periophthalmus magnuspinnatus. Lineage: Eukaryota; Metazoa; Chordata; Actinopteri; Gobiiformes; Gobiidae. The record is from RNAcentral.
UUAUGUGGUCAAGGCUCGAGUUCAUCAGAUGUCAGAAGCUAUUCAGAACUGGGCCCGGUCAGUACUUGGAUGGGGGACCGUUGGGGAAUAUCAGGUGCCAUGGU